GACGAACGCUGGCGGCGUGCUUAACACAUGCAAGUCGAACGGAAAGGCCCUGCUUUUGUGGGGUGCUCGAGUGGCGAACGGGUGAGUAACACGUGAGUAACCUGCCCUUGACUUUGGGAUAACUUCAGGAAACUGGGGCUAAUACCGGAUAGGAGCUCCUGCUGCAUGGUGGGGGUUGGAAAGUUUCGGCGGUUGGGGAUGGACUCGCGGCUUAUCAGCUUGUUGGUGGGGUAGUGGCUUACCAAGGCUUUGACUGGUAGCCGGCCUGCGAGGGUGACCGGCCACAUUGGGACUGAGAUACGGCCCAGACUCCUACGGGAGGCAGCAGUGGGGAAUAUUGCACAAUGGGCGGAAGCCUGAUGCAGCAGCGCCGCGUGCGGGAUGACGGCCUUCGGGUUGUAAACCGCUUUCGCCUGUGACGAAGCGUGAGUGACGGUAAUGGGUAAAGAAGCACCGGCUAACUACGUG
Molecule: ribosomal RNA, 468 nt
Filed under: uncultured bacterium
Lineage: Bacteria
Description: partial 16S ribosomal RNA
Rfam family: Bacterial small subunit ribosomal RNA
Source: RNAcentral